RNA transcript from Mustela lutreola (European mink), 5191 nucleotides. It is a transcript of the gene named tetratricopeptide repeat domain 21A, with no coding region annotated. The transcript has 30 exons. Lineage: Eukaryota; Metazoa; Chordata; Mammalia; Carnivora; Mustelidae. The record is from RefSeq and is a predicted model, not a curated record.
CUCCAACUUCCGGUCGCGAGAGGCUUGUCGGGGACCCUGACUCGGGAAUCCAGCUCCGGGCGGCCCCACCAGACCGGGACUCGGAGGCCCGGGAGCCUGGAGAUGAGCAGCGAUGACUCCUCUCUUAUGGCUGGGAUCAUUUACUAUAGCCAGGAGCAGUAUUUCCGUCAUGUGCAGCAGGCCGCAGCCUCGGGCCUGGAAAAAUUCAGCAAUGACCCCGUCCUGCAGUUCUUUAAAAUCUACGGGAUCCUCAGGGAAGAGCACAUCCAGGAUGCCAUUAGCAACCUGGAGAGCAUCCGGAAUCAUCCAGACGUGUCCUUGUGCUCCAUCAUGGCCCUCAUUUAUGCUCACAAGUGCUGCGAAACCAUUGACCGAGAAGCCAUUCAGGAGCUGGAGAGCAGCCUGAAGGAAAUCCGCAAGACAGCCAGCGCAAGGGCCAUGUACUACGCCGGCCUCUUCCUCUGGCUCAUGGGGCGCCACGACAAGGCCAGGGAGUACGUCGACCGCACCCUGAAGCUCUCCAGCAGCUCCAGAGAGGGCUAUGUGCUCCGAGGCUGGGUGGACCUCACCUCAGACAAGCCCCAUACCCUGAAGAAAUCCAUCAAGUACCUGGAACAAGGAAUGCAGGACAGCAAAGAUGUGCUGGGGCUGAUGGGAAAGGCGACCUACUUCAUGUUGCAGCAGAACUACUCGGGGGCACUGGAGGUGGUGAACCAGAUCACUGUCACCUCGGGGAGCUUCCUGCCUGCCCUGGUCCUAAAAAUGCGGCUGUUCUUGGCUCGACAGGACUGGGAGCAGACAGUCGAAAUGGGACACAGAAUUUUAGAAAAUGAUGAGUAUAAUAUCGAUGCCUGCCAAAUCCUAGCCAUGCAUGAGCUUGCAAGAGAAGGAAACAUGACCACAGCUACCAACCAUGUUAGAAAUCUGAUUAAGGCACUGGAAACAAGGGAGCCUCAAAAUCCAAGCCUCCAUCUUAAAAAAAUUCUUGUGAUUAGCAGGCUGUGUGGGAAACACCAGGCGAUUCUCCGGCUGGUGUGCCCCUUCAUGGAGCGUGCAUUCGUGGCCACACCCUCCUAUGCCCAGGUGGCCACAGAGCUGGGCUACCUCUUCAUCCUGCAUGACCAAGUGAGGGAAGCGUCUCGGUGGUACUCGGAGGCCUUGAAACUGGAUGGGAGCAGUGUGGCUGCCUUAACAGGGAUCAUCUGGUGCCAGAUCCUGGACGGCCACCUGGAAGAGGCAGAGCACCAGCUGGAAUUCCUGAAGGAGGUGCAGCAGUCCCUUGGGAAGUCUGAGGUGCUGCUUUUCCUCCAGGCCCUCCUGGCAUCCCGCAAGCACACAGGAGAGCAGGAAGUCACUGCCCUCCUGAAGGAGGUCGCAGAGCUGCACUUCUCCAGCAUGCAGGGCCUCCCCCUAGGCUCUGAGUACUUCGAAAGACUGGACCCCCUCUUCCUGGUCUGCCUCGCCAAGGAGUACUUGUUCUUCUGCCCCAAGCAGCCCCGGUCGCCAGGACAGAUUGUGUCUCCGCUCCUUAAACAAGUCGCCAUGAUCCUGACUCCUGUAAUCAAAGCAGCACCAGCGCUGAUCGAUGCACUGUAUGUGAUGGCUCAGGUCAAGUACCUCUCAGGAGAGUUAGAGAAUGCCCAGAGCACCCUGCAACGCUGCUUGGAGCUGGACCCUACCUCCGUGGAUGCCCACCUCCUCAUGUCCCACAUCUAUCUGGCACAGGGCAAUUUCACCAUGUGUUCCCACUGCUUAGAGCUAGGCGUCAGCCACAACUUCCAGGUCCGAGACCACCCCCUCUACCACUACAUCAAGGCCAGGGCCCUCAACAAGUCUGGGAACUAUCCAGAAGCCAUAAAGACCCUGAAAAUGAUCAUAAAAUUACCAACUCGGAAGACAGAAGGAGGCAAGAAGUUCCACGGGCCCUCUGUACAGCCCAGCGAGCGGGUGUCCAUCUUACUGGAACUGGCAGAUGCCCUCCGGAUGAAUGGGGAGCUGCAUGAGGCCACUAAGAUCAUGCAGGACGCCAUCAAUGAGUUCAGCGGCACACCAGAGGAGAUCCGCAUCACCAUCGCCAACGUGGACUUGGCCCUGAGCAAGGGGAAUGUGGACAUGGCACUGAGCAUGCUGAGGAACAUCACGCCCAAGCAACCCUGCUACACAGAAGCCAAGGAGAAGAUGGCCAACAUCUACCUGCAGACCCGCAAAGACACCCGCCUCUACAUAGGCUGUUACCGGGAACUCUGUGAACAUCUGCCUGGUCCCCACACCAGCCUGCUAUUGGGUGAUGCUUUCAUGAACAUUCAGGAGCCUGAGAAGGCCUUGGAGGUUUAUGACGAGGCCUAUAGAAAGAACCCACACGAUGCAUCCCUCGUCAGCAGGAUUGGGCAAGCCUAUGUGAAAACCCACCAAUAUACCAAGGCAAUUAAUUAUUAUGAGGCCGCCCAGAAGAUCAGUGGACAGGACUUUCUGUGCUGUGAUCUGGCUGAGCUGCUCCUGAAGUUAAAGAAAUUCAGCAAGGCAGAGAAAGUUCUGAAACAAGCACUGGAACAUGACUCUGUCAAGGACAUCCCAUCCAUGAUGAAUGAUGUCAAGUGCUUGCUUUUGCUGGCAAAGGUUUACAAGAGUCAUAAAAAAGAGGACGUGAUGGGAACUUUGAAUGAGGCCAUGGACCUCCAGUCUCGGAUCUUGAAGCGUGUUCCACUGGAGCAACCAGAAAUGAUCCCCUCCCAGAAGCAACUGGCAGCCUCCAUCUGUGUCCAGUUUGGGGAGCACUACCUGGCAGAGAAGGAGUUUGCCAAGGCAGUGCGGUCUUAUAAGGAUGCCCUCUUCUACUCGCCCUUUGACAAUAAGGUGGUGCUGGAGCUGGCGCGACUCUUCCUGCUGCAGGGACAGCUGGACCUGUGUGAGCAGCACUGUGCCCUCCUCCUACAGUCUGAGGAGCACCACGAGACCGCCUCUGUGAUGAUGGCUGACCUGAUGUUUAGAAAACAAAAAUAUGAAGCUGCUGUCGAUCUCUACCACCAAGUCCUGGAGAAAGCGCCAGACAAUUUUGUGGUACUGAAUAAACUAAUUGAUCUGCUAUGGAGAAGUGGCAGACUUGAAGAUGCCCCUGCCUUCUUUGAAUUGGCCAAGAAGAUGUCCAGCCGCAUUCCUUUGGAGCCAGGCUUCAACUACUGCAGAGGCAUCUACUGCUGGCACAUAGGGCAACCCAACGAAGCACUGAAGUUCCUAAACAAAGCACGCAAGGACAGCUCGUGGGGCCAGAGUGCCACCUACUACAUGGUGCAGAUCUGUCUGAACCCAGACAACGAGAUCGUGGGCGGAGAGGCUUUUGAGAAUCUGGUGGCUGAGAGCAACUCCACCGACAGGAAGGGCUCAGAGCAGCAUGGUGUGCGCACCGCGGAGAAGCUGCUGCGUGAGUUCUACCCGCACUCGGCCCGGGGCCAGACCCAGCUGCGACUGCUGCAGAGUCUCUGCCUGCUGGCCACCAGGGAGAAGGCCAACGUGGAGGCGGCGCUGGGCACCUUCAUCGAGAUGGCGCAGGCUGAGAAGGAGAGCGUCCCCGCCCUGCUGGCCAUGGCACAGGCCUACGCGCUGCUGAAGCAGGUCCCCAAGGCGCGCACGCAGCUGAAGCGUCUCGCCAAGGCCCCGUGGGCGCUGGAUGAGGCCGAGGACCUGGAGAAGAGCUGGCUCCUGCUGGCGGACCUGUACUGCCAGGGCGGCAAGUUCGACCUGGCGUCGGAGCUGCUGCGGCGCUGCGUGCAGUACAACAAGUCCUGCUGCAAGGCCUAUGAGUACAUGGGCUUCAUCGUGGAGAAGGAGCAGUCCUACAAAGAUGCAGCCACCAACUACGAGCUGGCCUGGAAGUACAGUCAUCACGCCAAUCCUGGCAUUGGCUUCAAACUCGCUUUCAACUACUUGAAGGACAAGAGAUUUGUGGAGGCCAUUGAAGUCUGCCACCAUGUAAGCCACUGUUCUCAGAGAGCAUCCUAAUUACCCCCAAAUCAGAGAAGAAAUUUUGGAAAAGGCCCAAGGGUCUCUGAAGCCUUAGCUGUGACCCCCAGGGCUCAAGAAGAGACUCCUCACAGCAUCCUGCCCAGCUGGGACACAGACAGGACGACCAGCUCAGAAGGUCCCACAGCUGAGGCUGUGUGAGGGAGGCCAUCAUCCCAUAGGCUGUGGAGGCCCUUGGCUCACUCUGUCCAUACAUUCUGUCUCCUUCCCAGGUCCUCCGCUGGCCUCUGCUGCUCCUCACUGGUUUGGGACAAACCCGAUUACCCAUGACUGGUACAGCCCAAGAAAAAAAUAGCUCCCACUUCAGAUUUUCUAAAAGACACUGACCAACAGAUUUAUCCUCCAGAAACCUUUUUCACGCCUUGGAGGACAAAAGCAAUGGUCCCUAUUUAGAGGAAUUAUGUUACUUGUAACUGGCAAGAGAGUGGCAGAGGUCACUUUAGCUGCAGCUCCCACCACCUCUCUUCUUGUUUCUCAUGAUGCCAGUAACAGGCCCGGUUUGGCCUCAGAGGAAGGAACUCUGAACUGGGAGUUAGGACUGUGACCUUCCCAAGAGCUUCUGCUCUGUGGACUUCAGUGUCCCCCUCUGUGGUAGGAAAUUAGAUGAGAUGUGCCUGUCCCCAAAACCAUAAUACAAAUCCCUUCCAAUGAUAUACAGCAAAUAGUUUAUAGUUUAAUAGCCAUGUGUUUAAAAAUCAUUGUUACAUAAUAGAGAAAAAUAACUAGCAUGACAAAGUCAUGAAUUCAUGAGUGCUGUUACUCAGAAUGGUUCUAACUUUUAAGUAUAUCAAUAUAAUUGAUAUAAAGCAAAAUACUUAGUAUGAGUAGAAUACAGCAAAAUUUUCAAGAGAAGUUGUCCAGUGAUGACAGUUUGGGAACCGGACAGGUAGGGGUCGCGUUUAGAACAGACAGAAUUAUCCUUGGUGGUGGCUGAGCCUUGUCUUUGUAACACCCCGCUGACCACAUGGAUGGCCUCUUGAUCUGAGUCAGUCAUCUGGAAUGCUUUCCCCAGCUUACUACCAUCCUUCCUAUGGGAAACCGGUCCCCUUUACUAGCAUCUGCUUUACAAUCUGGUUUCUUGGGGUGGCUUGUUGAGAGACAGGUUUGUCUGUAUGGAGAAUGGUGCUGUAAAGGAUUAUACAUUAAUCACAUUUUUAUUACUGUAGAACCCAAA